RNAcentral lists this ribosomal RNA (1374 nucleotides) under uncultured bacterium. RNAcentral's name for it is "bacterial SSU rRNA". It matches the Rfam family "Bacterial small subunit ribosomal RNA", at positions 28 to 1381 of the family's 1533-position model. The record is from RNAcentral.
GAUGAACGCUGGCGGCGUGCCUAAUACAUGCAAGUCGAGCGAACGGACGAGAAGCUUGCUUCUCUGAUGUUAGCGGCGGACGGGUGAGUAACACGUGGAUAACCUACCUAUAAGACUGGGAUAACUUCGGGAAACCGGAGCUAAUACCGGAUAAUAUUUUGAACCGCAUGGUUCAAAAGUGAAAGACGGUCUUGCUGUCACUUAUAGAUGGAUCCGCGCUGCAUUAGCUAGUUGGUAAGGUAACGGCUUACCAAGGCAACGAUGCAUAGCCGACCUGAGAGGGUGAUCGGCCACACUGGAACUGAGACACGGUCCAGACUCCUACGGGAGGCAGCAGUAGGGAAUCUUCCGCAAUGGGCGAAAGCCUGACGGAGCAACGCCGCGUGAGUGAUGAAGGUCUUCGGAUCGUAAAACUCUGUUAUUAGGGAAGAACAUAUGUGUAAGUAACUGUGCACAUCUUGACGGUACCUAAUCAGAAAGCCACGGCUAACUACGUGCCAGCAGCCGCGGUAAUACGUAGGUGGCAAGCGUUAUCCGGAAUUAUCGGGCGUAAAGCGCGCGUAGGCGGUUUUUUAAGUCUGAUGUGAAAGCCCACGGCUCAACCCGUGGAGGGUCAUUGGAAACUGGAAAACUUGAGUGCAGAAGAGGAAAGUGGAAUUCCAUGUGUAGCGGUGAAAUGCGCAGAGAUAUGGAGGAACACCAGUGGCGAAGGCGACUUUCUGGUCUGUAACUGACGCUGAUGUGCGAAAGCGUGGGGAUCAAACAGGAUUAGAUACCCUGGUAGUCCACGCCGUAAACGAUGAGUGCUAAGUGUUAGGGGGUUUCCGCCCCUUAGUGCUGCAGCUAACGCAUUAAGCACUCCGCCUGGGGAGUACGACCGCAAGGUUGAAACUCAAAGGAAUUGACGGGGACCCGCACAAGCGGUGGAGCAUGUGGUUCAAUUCGAAGCAACGCGAAGAACCUUACCAAAUCUUGACAUCCUUUGACAACUCUAGAGAUAGAGCCUUCCCCUUCGGGGGGGCAAAGUGACAGGUGGUGCAUGGUUGUCGUCAGCUCGUGUCGUGAGAUGUUGGGUUAAGUCCCGCAACGAGCGCAACCCUUAAGCUUAGUUGCCAUCAUUAAGUUGGGCACUCUAAGUUGACUGCCGGUGACAAACCGGAGGAAGGUGGGGAUGACGUCAAAUCAUCAUGCCCCUUAUGAUUUGGGCUACACACGUGCUACAAUGGACAAUACAAAGGGCAGCGAAACCGCGAGGUCAAGCAAAUCCCAUAAAGUUGUUCUCAGUUCGGAUUGUAGUCUGCAACUCGACUACAUGAAGCUGGAAUCGCUAGUAAUCGUAGAUCAGCAUGCUACGGUGAAUACGUUCCCGGGUCU